CAGAUACAGAUGACAUUAAAAAAAAUUAGCUGCAAGGGAGGAGAUGAAAAAAUGGGUUGUUGCCCGGCUCUUGACAGGAGAUGAAAAAAAUAGGUUGUUGAUGAGCCACCACCCUUUCACAUGUGGGUAGAACAUAAGGUCAUGUGGCAGUAAGAGGCUGAAAAGUCAAAAGAAGGCUGCCUCUCCUUUCUUCCUUCAUGGCUAAGGCUGCUGCUGGUCCAGAAGAACAUUUUGACACCCCACCCCCUUUUUUCCUUUUAAAAAGUAGGGGAUGUGGGUUUGUAAAAAAAAAAUAUAUAUAUGUAUAUGUAGAGAGAGAAAUAUCCCGUUGACCAUUUUUAGAAGGCUCCAGAUUGGGUAUUGUGUUUUAACCAAAUUUUAAAGAUUACCAGGGGAAUUGUGGGAGGGUCAAAGACUUGUUACAACUAUGCAGAUUUUAUAAAUG
This 445-nucleotide long non-coding RNA is filed under the name Bos taurus (domestic cattle). RNAcentral's name for it is "long non-coding RNA NONBTAT006838". The record is from RNAcentral. Lineage: Eukaryota; Metazoa; Chordata; Mammalia; Artiodactyla; Bovidae.